CUGUUCGUGCAUUAGGUAUAAAGA
RNAcentral lists this non-coding RNA (24 nucleotides) under Cricetulus griseus (Chinese hamster). The record is from RNAcentral. Lineage: Eukaryota; Metazoa; Chordata; Mammalia; Rodentia; Cricetidae.